Molecule: ribosomal RNA, 479 nt
Filed under: uncultured bacterium
Lineage: Bacteria
Description: partial 16S ribosomal RNA
Rfam family: Bacterial small subunit ribosomal RNA
Source: RNAcentral
GAUGAACGCUGGCGGCGUGCUUAACACAUGCAAGUCGAACGAAGCACCUUGAUUUGAUUCUUCGGAUGAAGAUCUUGGUGACUGAGUGGCGGACGGGUGAGUAACGCGUGGGUAACCUGCCUCAUACAGGGGGAUAACAGUUAGAAAUGACUGCUAAUACCGCAUAAGACCACAGCACCGCAUGGUGCAGGGGUAAAAACUCCGGUGGUAUGAGAUGGACCCGCGUCUGAUUAGGUAGUUGGUGGGGUAACGGCCUACCAAGCCGACGAUCAGUAGCCGACCUGAGAGGGUGACCGGCCCCAUUGGGACUGAGACACGGCCCAAACUCCUACGGGAGGCAGCAGUGGGGAAUAUUGCACAAUGGGGGAAACCCUGAUGCAGCGACGCCGCGUGAGCGAUGAAGUAUUUCGGUAUGUAAAGCUCUAUCAGCAGGGAAGAAAAUGACGGUACCUGACUAAGAAGCACCGGCUAAAUACGUG